Molecule: ribosomal RNA, 242 nt
Filed under: uncultured bacterium
Lineage: Bacteria
Description: partial 16S ribosomal RNA
Rfam family: Bacterial small subunit ribosomal RNA
Source: RNAcentral
UACGUAGGGUGCGAGCGUUAAUCGGAAUUACUGGGCGUAAAGCGUGCGCAGGCGGUUUUGUAAGCCAGAUGUGAAAGCCCCGGGCUUAACCUGGGAAUGGCAUUUGGGACUGCAAGGCUAGAGUGCGGCAGAGGAGACUGGAAUUCCUGGUGUAGCAGUGAAAUGCGUAGAUAAUCAGGAGGAAUACCGAUGGCGAAGGCAGGUCUCUGGGCUGACACUGACGUCGAUGCACGAAAGCGUGG